AGGUAUUCCCCUAGUAACGGCGAGUGAAGAGGGAAAAGCCCAGCACCGAAGCCUGCGGCAGUUUUGCUGUUAGGCAAUGUGGUGUUUGGGUCGGCUCGUGGGAUUGCCACUCCACUCGAAGUCCAGCAUUGAGUAUGGUCACUGGAUUUGGCCCAGAGAGGGUGAAAGGCCCGUACGGGUGGAGGUUCAGAAAUGAAAGGCAGUUCACCAGGCCGGCCUUAGAGUCGGGUUGUUUGAGAAUGCAGCCCUAAGUGGGUGGUAAACUCCAUCCAAGGCUAAAUACAGGCACGAGUCCGAUAGCGAACAAGUACCGUGAGGGAAAGUUGAAAAGUACUCUGAAGAGAGAGUAAACAGUACGUGAAACCGCAUGCAGGUAAACGGGUGGCGUCAAGCUGCAAGCCCAGAGGAUUCAGCCGGUUAGGAUGUUGUGUAUGCGCCUGGCGCAUCCAUCAGUCAGAGUAUGAUUGGAUAGUCCACUGGUAAACGGUGGGCCCGGCCGCAAGGUUGGGAUGUGUGUACCGGGUGGGUGCCGGAGCAUGCUAUCCGUCUAGGGACUGUCUAGCCGGUGCACUUUCUCUGUGGCUGACACCACGACCGGUGGUAUUGCCAGUCUGCUGUGUCCAAGUCGUAUUCGGUAGGUCCUUGUGGCCACUGGGUGCGAUCACAGGCAAACUCAGUAUACGGCGUAGAGGUGUUUCGGCACUUUUGCGUGUUAUCGGCUACUGGUUGUCAACGGGCCGCCUAGUGUUUGUUGUAACCGGCACUCGGGUGGUCUGGUGGGACAUGGUGGUAAGAAUAACUGUGCAAGGCACCGGGGUUAUCGGCCUCAAAUGCACUCCGCGCCCAUGUUACAAGUGGUGUAUGGCGGUGCUGUUGCCAUCUGCUCGGUGUUGGGUCUGAUUGUCGUGUCGCCUGCGCAAAGUGGGCCCGGCAGUGGCUCGACUCGAGAUGGGUGGUGGAUGGCAUUGUCUGUGCGGGGUGUGGUGGGCCUAAUAGUCAGUGGUGUAGUGGUAGACGAGCUACCCGACCCGUCUUGAAACACGGACCAAGGAGUUCAACAUGUAUGCGAGUCAAUGGGCGUUACGAAACCCAAAGGCGCAGUGAAAGUAAAGCUCCGACUUGUCUCGGGGUGAGGUGAGAUCCUGCUGUUACUCGCAUCAGCCUAAUGCCAGCAUCAGGCUAAGAGCAGUGGGCGCAUCACCGGCCCGUCCCAUGAUGUGGUCAUUGGAUGUCUGCGGCAGUUGCUUCGGUGGCUGUCGUGGUGCCAGUGCGUCAUCGGGGCGGUGCAUGAGCAUACACGUUGAGAC
Molecule: ribosomal RNA, 1307 nt
Filed under: Acanthobothrium hypermekkolpos
Lineage: Eukaryota; Metazoa; Platyhelminthes; Cestoda; Tetraphyllidea; Onchobothriidae
Description: eukaryotic LSU rRNA
Rfam family: Eukaryotic large subunit ribosomal RNA
Source: RNAcentral